GUCUCCGUAGUUUAAUGGAUAAAACGGGGCCCUCCUAAGGCUUUGAUGUAGGUUCGAUUCCUACCGGGGACGCCA
Molecule: transfer RNA, 75 nt
Filed under: Pseudoalteromonas luteoviolacea
Lineage: Bacteria; Pseudomonadati; Pseudomonadota; Gammaproteobacteria; Alteromonadales; Pseudoalteromonadaceae
Also listed under: 5 other names
Description: tRNA-Arg
Rfam family: tRNA
About the family: Transfer RNA (tRNA) molecules are approximately 80 nucleotides in length. Their secondary structure includes four short double-helical elements and three loops (D, anti-codon, and T loops).
Source: RNAcentral